This 407-nucleotide ribosomal RNA is filed under the name uncultured Bdellovibrio sp. RNAcentral's name for it is "bacterial SSU rRNA". It matches the Rfam family "Bacterial small subunit ribosomal RNA", at positions 355 to 776 of the family's 1533-position model. The record is from RNAcentral. Lineage: Bacteria; Pseudomonadati; Bdellovibrionota; Bdellovibrionia; Bdellovibrionales; Pseudobdellovibrionaceae.
UAGGGAAUAUUGCACAAUGGAGGAAACUCUGAUGCAGCGACGCCGCGUGAGUGACGAAGGCCUUCGGGUUGUAAAGCUCUGUUCUCGGGGAAAAAGAAAGUGAUUGUACUCGAGAAGAAAGGACCGGCUAACUUCGUGCCAGCAGCCGCGGUAAGACGAGGGGUCCAAGCGUUGUUCGGAAUUAUUGGGCGUAAAGCGGGUGUAGGUGGAUCUAUAAGUCAGGAGUGAAAGCCCCGAGCUUAACUUGGGAAGUGCUUUUGAUACUGUAGAUCUUGAAUGUGGGAGAGGAUCGUGGAAUUCCAGGUGUAGUGGUGAAAUACGUAGAUAUCUGGAGGAACACCGGUGGCGAAGGCGGCGAUCUGGCCCAACAUUGACACUGAGACCCGAAAGCGCGGGGAUCAAACAGG